AUUGAACGCUGGCGGCAGGCCUAACACAUGCAAGUCGGACGGUAGCACAGAGGAGCUUGCUCCUUGGGUGGCGAGUGGCGGACGGGUGAGUAAUGUCUGGGGAUCUGCCCGAUAGAGGGGGAUAACCACUGGAAACGGUGGCUAAUACCGCAUAACGUCGCAAGACCAAAGAGGGGGACCUUCGGGCCUCUCACUAUCGGAUGAACCCAGAUGGGAUUAGCUAGUAGGCGGGGUAACGGCCCACCUAGGCGACGAUCCCUAGCUGGUCUGAGAGGAUGACCAGCCACACUGGAACUGAGACACGGUCCAGACGCCUACGGGAGGCAGCAGUGGGGAAUAUUGCACAAUGGGCGCAAGCCUGAUGCAGCCAUGCCGCGUGUAUGAAGAAGGCCUUCGGGUUGUAAAGUACUUUCAGCGGGGAGAAAGGCGGUGAGGUUAAUAACCUCGCCGAUUGACGUUACCCGCAGAAGAAGCACCGGCUAACUCCGAGCCAGCCGCCGCGGUAA
This 506-nucleotide ribosomal RNA is filed under the name uncultured bacterium. Its description in RNAcentral is "partial 16S ribosomal RNA". It matches the Rfam family "Bacterial small subunit ribosomal RNA", at positions 29 to 523 of the family's 1533-position model. The record is from RNAcentral.